CCCUAGCCUAGUUCAGCUGGAUAGAAUGUCUACCUACGGAGCAGAUGGUCGUAGGUUCGAAUCCUGCAUCGGGUA
RNAcentral lists this transfer RNA (75 nucleotides) under Perkinsus olseni. Its description in RNAcentral is "tRNA-Arg". It matches the Rfam family "tRNA". From Rfam's summary of the family: Transfer RNA (tRNA) molecules are approximately 80 nucleotides in length. Lineage: Eukaryota; Perkinsozoa; Perkinsida; Perkinsidae. The record is from RNAcentral.